UCAGUGAAAUUGAACUCGCUGUGAAGAUGCAGUGUACCCGCGGCAAGACGGAAAGACCCCGUGAACCUUUACUAUAGCUUGACACUGAACAUUGAGCCUUGAUGUGUAGGAUAGGUGGGAGGCUUUGAAGUGUGGACGCCAGUCUGCAUGGAGCCGACCUUGAAAUACCACCCUUUAAUGUUUGAUGUUCUAACGUUGGCCCGUAAUCCGGGUUGCGGACAGUGUCUGGUGGGUAGUUUGACUGGGGCGGUCUCCUCCUAAAGAGUAACGGAGGAGCACGAAGGUUGGCUAAUCCUGGUCGGACAUCAGGAGGUUAGUGCAAUGGCAUAAGCCAGCUUGACUGCGAGCGUGACGGCGCGAGCAGGUGCGAAAGCAGGUCAUAGUGAUCCGGUGGUUCUGAAUGGAAGGGCCAUCGCUCAACGGAUAAAAGGUACUCCGGGGAUAACAGGCUGAUACCGCCCAAGAGUUCAUAUCGACGGCGGUGUUUGGCACCUCGAUGUCGGCUCAUCACAUCCUGGGGCUGAAGUAGGUCCCAAGGGUAUGGCUGUUCGCCAUUUAAAGUGGUACGCGAGCUGGGUUUAGAACGUCGUGAGACAGUUCGGUCCCUAUCUGCCGUGGGCGCUGGAGAACUGAGGGGGGCUGCUCCUAGUACGAGAGGACCGGAGUGGACGCAUCACUGGUGUUCGGGUUGUCAUGCCAAUGGCACUGCCCGGUAGCUAAAUGCGGAAGAGAUAAGUGCUGAAAGCAUCUAAGCACGAAACUUGC
This 765-nucleotide ribosomal RNA is filed under the name Escherichia coli. RNAcentral describes it as "partial 23S ribosomal RNA". It matches the Rfam family "Bacterial large subunit ribosomal RNA", at positions 2033 to 2797 of the family's 2925-position model. The record is from RNAcentral. Lineage: Bacteria; Pseudomonadati; Pseudomonadota; Gammaproteobacteria; Enterobacterales; Enterobacteriaceae.